This 31-nucleotide non-coding RNA is filed under the name Rattus norvegicus (Norway rat). Lineage: Eukaryota; Metazoa; Chordata; Mammalia; Rodentia; Muridae. The record is from RNAcentral.
UCUUGUUUCAGACUCAAUUACUUGGAGUAGU